GUGGGGAAUAUUGGUCAAUGGGCGCAAGCCUGAACCAGCCAUCCCGCGUGCAGGAAGACGGCGCUAUGCGUUGUAAACUGCUUUUCCAGGGAGAGAAACUUGCGCACGUGUUGCGCAAUUGACGGUACCCUGGGAAUAAGCAUCGGCUAACUCCGUGCCAGCAGCCGCGGUAAUACGGAGGAUGCGAGCGUUAUCCGGAUUCAUUGUGUUUAAAGGGUGCGUAGGCGGACUAUUAAGUCAGUGGUGAAAUCCUGCAGGUUAACUGCAGAACUGCAAUUGAUACUGAUAGCCUUGAGUUUGGUUAAGGUAGGCGGAAUGUGUAAUGUAGCGGUGAAAUGCUUAGAUAUUACACAGAACACCAAUUGCGUAGGCAGCUUACUGAGCCGACACUGACGCUGAGGCACGAAAGCGUGGGGAUCGAACAGGAUUAGAUACCCGUGUAGUCC
RNAcentral lists this ribosomal RNA (446 nucleotides) under uncultured bacterium. Its description in RNAcentral is "partial 16S ribosomal RNA". It matches the Rfam family "Bacterial small subunit ribosomal RNA", at positions 354 to 796 of the family's 1533-position model. The record is from RNAcentral.